Molecule: ribosomal RNA, 253 nt
Filed under: uncultured bacterium
Lineage: Bacteria
Description: partial 16S ribosomal RNA
Rfam family: Bacterial small subunit ribosomal RNA
Source: RNAcentral
UACGUAGGUGGCAAGCGUUGUCCGGAAUUAUUGGGCGUAAAGCGCGCGCAGGCGGUUCCUUAAGUCUGAUGUGAAAGCCCACGGCUCAACCGUGGAGGGUCAUUGGAAACUGGGGAACUUGAGUGCAGGAGAGAAGAGUAGAAUUCCACGUGUAGCGGUGAAAUGCGUAGAGAUGUGGAGGAACACCAGUGGCGAAGGCGACUCUUUGGCCUGUAACUGACGCUGAGGCGCGAAAGCGUGGGGAGCAAACAGG